ACACCGGCAGCUCAAGUGGUGGCCGUUUUUAUUGGGCCUAAAGCGUUCGUAGCCGGCCUGAUAAGUCUCUGGUGAAAUCCCGCAGCUUAACUGUGGGAAUUGCUGGAGAUACUAUCAGGCUUGAGGUCGGGAGAGGUUAGAGGUACUCCCAGGGUAGGGGUGAAAUCCUAUAAUCCUGGGAGGACCACCUGUGGCGAAGGCGUCUAACUGGAACGAACCUGACGGUGAGUAACGAAAGCCAGGGGCGCGAACCGGAGUAGAUAACCGGGUAGUACUGGCCGUAAACGAUGUGGACUUGGUGUUGGGAUGGCCUCGAGCUGCCCCAGUGCCGAAGGGAAGCUGUUAAGUCCACCGCCUGGGAAGUACGGUCGCAAGACUGAA
Molecule: ribosomal RNA, 381 nt
Filed under: uncultured archaeon
Lineage: Archaea
Description: bacterial SSU rRNA
Rfam family: Archaeal small subunit ribosomal RNA
Source: RNAcentral